RNAcentral lists this ribosomal RNA (446 nucleotides) under uncultured bacterium. RNAcentral's name for it is "bacterial SSU rRNA". It matches the Rfam family "Bacterial small subunit ribosomal RNA", at positions 329 to 792 of the family's 1533-position model. The record is from RNAcentral.
GGCCAGACUCCUACGGGAGGCAGCAGUGGGGAAUAUUGCACAAUGGGGGAAACCCUGAUGCAGCGGCGCCGCGUGAAGGAUGAAGUAUUUCGGUAUGUAAACUUCUAUCAGCAGGGAAGAAAAUGACGGUACCUGACUAAGAAGCCCCGGCUAACUACGUGCCAGCAGCCGCGGUAAUACGUAGGGGGCAAGCGUUAUCCGGAUUUACUGGGUGUAAAGGGAGCGUAGACGGCAUGGCAAGUCUGAUGUGAAAACCCGGGGCUCAACCCCGGGACUGCAUUGGAAACUGUCAGGCUGGAGUGCAGGAGAGGUAAGUGGAAUUCCUAGUGUAGCGGUGAAAUGCGUAGAUAUUAGGAGGAACACCAGUGGCGAAGGCGGCUUACUGGACUGUAACUGACGUUGAGGCUCGAAAGCGUGGGGAGCAAACAGGAUUAGAUACCCGAGUA